RNAcentral lists this ribosomal RNA (497 nucleotides) under uncultured bacterium. RNAcentral describes it as "partial 16S ribosomal RNA". It matches the Rfam family "Bacterial small subunit ribosomal RNA", at positions 28 to 507 of the family's 1533-position model. The record is from RNAcentral.
GAUGAACGCUGGCGGCGUGCCUAAUACAUGCAAGUCGAGCGAACAGACGAGGAGCUUGCUCCUCUGACGUUAGCGGCGGACGGGUGAGUAACACGUGGAUAACCUACCUAUAAGACUGGGAUAACUUCGGGAAACCGGAGCUAAUACCGGAUAAUAUAUUGAACCGCAUGGUUCAAUAGUGAAAGACGGUUUUGCUGUCACUUAUAGAUGGAUCCGCGCCGCAUUAGCUAGUUGGUAAGGUAACGGCUUACCAAGGCAACGAUGCGUAGCCGACCUGAGAGGGUGAUCGGCCACACUGGAACGGAGACAGGGUCCUGACUCCUACGGGAGGCAGCAGUAGGGAAUCUUCCGCAAUGGGCGAAAGCCUUACGGAGCAACGCCGCGUGAGUGAUGAAGGUCUUCCGAUCGUAAAGCUCUGUUAUUAGGGAAGAACAAAUGUGUAAGUAACUAUGCACGUCUUGACGGUACCUAAUCAGAAAGCCACGGCUAACUACGUG